This 273-nucleotide ribosomal RNA is filed under the name uncultured bacterium. Its description in RNAcentral is "partial 16S ribosomal RNA". It matches the Rfam family "Bacterial small subunit ribosomal RNA", at positions 524 to 796 of the family's 1533-position model. The record is from RNAcentral.
UACGAAGGGGGCUAGCGUUGUUCGGAAUUACUGGGCGUAAAGCGCACGUAGGCGGAUUGUUAAGUGAGGGGUGAAAUCCCAGGGCUCAACCCUGGAACUGCCUUUCAUACUGGCAAUCUUGAGUUCGAGAGAGGUGAGUGGAAUUCCGAGUGUAGAGGUGAAAUUCGUAGAUAUUCGGAGGAACACCAGUGGCGAAGGCGGCUCACUGGCUCGAUACUGACGCUGAGGUGCGAAAGCGUGGGGAGCAAACAGGAUUAGAUACCCGGGUAGUCC